UACGGAGGGUGCAAGCGUUAUCCGGAUUCACUGGGUUUAAAGGGUGCGUAGGCGGGUAUGUAAGUCAGUGGUGAAAUCCCCGAGCUUAACUCGGGAACUGCCAUUGAUACUAUAUAUCUUGAAUGUUCUGGAGGUAUGCGGAAUAUGUCAUGUAGCGGUGAAACUGCUUAGAGAUGACAUAGAACACCUAUUGCGAAGGCAGCAUACUACGGAAAUAUUGACGCUGAGGCACGAAAGUGUGGGGAUCAAACAGG
RNAcentral lists this ribosomal RNA (254 nucleotides) under uncultured bacterium. RNAcentral's name for it is "partial 16S ribosomal RNA". It matches the Rfam family "Bacterial small subunit ribosomal RNA", at positions 524 to 776 of the family's 1533-position model. The record is from RNAcentral.